RNAcentral lists this small RNA (128 nucleotides) under Escherichia coli. RNAcentral's name for it is "partial RtT sRNA". It matches the Rfam family "RtT RNA". Rfam says of the family: This family represents a bacterial cis-regulatory element known as RtT RNA. The exact function of RtT is unknown although it is thought that it may be involved in changing the cellular response in relation to amino acid starvation. The record is from RNAcentral. Lineage: Bacteria; Pseudomonadati; Pseudomonadota; Gammaproteobacteria; Enterobacterales; Enterobacteriaceae.
AUUCUGCCCAAGCGGGGAAGGAUGAGAAGCUUCGACCAAGGUUCGACUUGAGCGCCAGCGAGAGAGCGUUGCCGCAGGCAACGACCCGAAGGGCGAAGCGCGCAGCGCUGAGUAAUCCUUCCCCCACC